AGUGAACGCUGGCGGUAGGCCUAACACAUGCAAGUCGAACGGCAGCACAGUAAGAGCUUGCUCUUACGGGUGGCGAGUGGCGGACGGGUGAGGAAUACAUCGGAAUCUACUUUUUCGUGGGGGAUAACGUAGGGAAACUUACGCUAAUACCGCAUACGACCUACGGGUGAAAGCAGGGGAUCUUCGGACCUUGCGCGAUUGAAUGAGCCGAUGUCGGAUUAGCUAGUUGGCGGGGUAAAGGCCCACCAAGGCGACGAUCCGUAGCUGGUCUGAGAGGAUGAUCAGCCACACUGGAACUGAGACACGGUCCAGACUCCUACGGGAGGCAGCAGUGGGGAAUAUUGGACAAUGGGCGCAAGCCUGAUCCAGCCAUACCGCGUGGGUGAAGAAGGCCUUCGGGUUGUAAAGCCCUUUUGUUGGGAAAGAAAAGCAGCAGGUGAAUAUCCCGCUGUUCUGACGGUACCCAAAGAAUAAGCACCGGCUAACUUCGUG
This 492-nucleotide ribosomal RNA is filed under the name uncultured bacterium. RNAcentral describes it as "partial 16S ribosomal RNA". It matches the Rfam family "Bacterial small subunit ribosomal RNA", at positions 29 to 507 of the family's 1533-position model. The record is from RNAcentral.